This 598-nucleotide unclassified non-coding RNA is filed under the name Bombus terrestris (buff-tailed bumblebee). Its description in RNAcentral is "misc RNA ENSBTSG00005026021.1". Lineage: Eukaryota; Metazoa; Arthropoda; Insecta; Hymenoptera; Apidae. The record is from RNAcentral.
UGGAGGAAUACAUUGAAUAUCUCAAAUAGAGUAAUCCCCCAUAACUUUAGUGGAUGAGACGAAUCUUUAUUUAGAUUCUACCUCUUUAUCUCCAUUCAUAAAGAUAUAAAUUGGCAUGAAAAUUUAAGAUUAUUCGCUGUGAAAGUGCUUGAAAUCUUCUACAGAGAAUCAUAAUAUCUUUACUUACUGUUUAGAGAGGCAAAUAAAUUUACCAGAUCCUAGGGCAGUGAUAAAAGGUAACGAAGAGGUUCGAAGAAAUGAUGAGAAUCCACGGUACUUCAUCGCAGCGUCUUGCUUUUUCUCAUCUGACGAUACUUGCCGAUAUUUACACGCUCACGUGCGUGUCUCGAAGGUGAACACACACGGUAUCCCUUCGUGUCCCGAAAUCCCGUUACACAGUCGGUUCAGAGGCAUUCUACGUAUCACGGCUGCGUAAUGCUAAACAGAGAAGAGAGAACGACGACGAUGAAGAAGAGCAAAGGAAAUACAAGGGGCAGCAGACCAUUGCUCGUGAUCUUGCGUUGAUGCGCGGUGAGGAAAGGGGCCGUGAGAAAGACGAAGAGAGCGAAGAAGCUGAUUGCUCGAACGUUGCUUCACC